CACAGAUAUUUACUUUUUUGGGGGAUAUUUGUUUAAAUGAAACAUCUGUGGUUAGAAGGUCCAUGUUAUUGCUUGUGUCCUCAGCAAGAGGUCACAAUAUUGACCAGCCCCAAAAAACUUUAAAAAACUCUAUAACUGUGAAAACAUAUACACUCACCGGCCACUUUAUUAGGUACACCAUGCUAGUAACGGGUUGGACCCCCUUUUGCCUUCAGAACUGCCUCAAUUCUUCGUGGCAUAGAUUCAACAAGGUGCUGGAAGCAUUCCUCAGAGAACUUGGUCCAUAUUGACAUGAUGGCAUCACACAGUUGCCGCAGAUUUGUCGGCUGCACAUCCAUGAUGCGAAUCUCCCGUUCCACCACAUCCCAAAGAUGCUCUAUUGGAUUGAGAUCUGGUGACUGUGGAGGCCAUUUGAGUACAGUGAACUCAUUGUCAUGUUCAAGAAACCAGUCUGAGAUGAUUCCAGCUUUAUGACAUGGCGCAUUAUCCUGCUGAAAGUAGCCAUCAGAAGUUGGGUACAUUGUGGUCAUAAAGGGAUGGACAUGGUCAGCAACAAUACUCAGGUAGGCUGUGGCGUUGCAACGAUGAUCAAUUGGUACCAAGGGGCCCAAAGAGUGCCAAGAAAAUAUUCCCCACACCAUGACACCACCACCACCAGCCUGAACCGUUGAUACAAGGCAGGAUGGAUCCAUGCUUUCAUGUUGUUGACGCCAAAUUCUGACCCUACCAUCCGAAUGUCGCAGCAGAAAUCGAGACUCAUCAGACCAGGCAACGUUUUUCCAAUCUUCUAUUGUCCAAUUUCAAUGAGCUUGUGCAAAUUGUAGCCUCAGUUUCCUGUUCUUAGCUGAAAGGAGUGGCACCCGGCGUGGUCUUCUGCUGCUGUAGCCCAUCUGCCUCAAAGUUCGACGUACUGUGCGUUCAGAGAUGCUCUUCUGCCUACCUUGGUUGAAACGGGUGGUUAUUUGAGUCACUGUUGCCUUUCUAUCAGCUCGAACCAGUCUGGCCAUUCUCCUCUGACCUCUGGCAUCAACAAGGCAUUUCCGCCCACAGAACUGCCGCUCACUGGAUAUUUUUUCUUUUUCGGACCAUUCUCUGUAAAUCCUAGAGAUGGUUGUGCGUGAAAAUCCCAGUAGAUCAGCAGUUUCUGAAAUACUCAGACCAGCCCUUCUGGCACCAACAACCAUGCCACGUUCAAAGUCACUCAAAUCACCUUUCUUCCCCAUACUGAUGCUCGGUUUGAACUGCAGGAGAUUGUCUUGACCAUGUCUACAUGCCUAAAUGCACUAAGUUGCCGCCAUGUGAUUGGCUGAUUAGAAAUUAAGUGUUAACGAGCAGUUGGACAGGUGUACCUAAUAAGGUGGCCGGUGAGUGUACAUCAAAUAAAAAUUCAGGGCUAUAAAUAUAUUAACAAUGAAUGGCCUGAACAUCAAAUAGCUUUUUGCCUAAAAAUCUGCCUAUCAAAGUUGUGUCCUCAGUUUCUGUCAACUCCAUCAGAUUAUUCUAUAAACCUCAUUAAAUCAUGCAAUAUCAUGGUCAGCUAUAUCCCUGAGGACCCCUUAUCAUUUCCUGCUUCUGGUGAAUGCAACACCACCACACAUGGUGUGGUAGGUUUUACAGUUUUUGAUAUUUUAGACAAACAAUGUCAAUAUUUGUAUGGUCACAGCUGGACCAUGUCAACACCGUCUCUCCAUUAUUAUACAUUUUUUUAAACUAUAGUGAGUUCAAUUAAAGUAUUUUGGUGAUAUUAUCAGGACAGCUAGCAACUGCCUAAAAAGUAGCUAGCUGCACUGUACAAUAAAUGUUUUGGAGGGAAAAUACAUGCCCUUAUGUCAACUCCGUCAGACGUCAACUCUAAGCUGAUGGAGUUGACAAAUCCACCUAUAACCUCUUAAUGUGCUGACAUUAUGCUAUUUUUGAACAUGGUUAAGGAUAACAAUGUUAUUCCAGGGUCUUAUCUGCACAUAAAAGUACAUAUAUAGCAUGUAUUUUACCAUAUACUUCUGUUUUGUAGAGUAGACCAUGGGCAGGCUGUCUGCUUAAUUAUAACUGUCAAACUUUCCCAACACACACACACACACACACACACACCUAAUCUCAUUGAUUGAUUGAUUAAUGUACAAUCCUAAAGGUGCAGUAUGUAAUUUUCACUACUUAAAAUCUACACACUGGCUUCUUAUAGAGUGCGCAAGAAGUUCUAUGUUGCUCUUUUAAACCCCAGUGUAGGUGGGAUACCAGAUAGAAGAAAAAGGUUAUUAUUUUUACAUUGUUAACUUGGACCCUCAGACCUUGGGCUCUAUUUUUGUGUCCACCGGCGACAUGGCGGAGGGUGGCGAACCCCGCGCAGUGGCAUUUUUGUCUGGCGGAGCUCAGCGUACAGCCAGUUUGGUAUUUUCGUGGACUGAGGUGCACCGAGGUCCGCCAAGCUGGGCGUGGAUGUGUGGCAGGGUGAGAUGUCCACAGAAUCAGCUGGUGCAGUGACAUUUUCGUACUUGUUGCCGGCGUGCAAAGUGCGCUGAAAGCUCGCAGAUUCAAACCUGGUCAGCUUUCAGCGCAGGUUGAUCCAGAUGGGCUAGUGGUAUUUUGGGCGACCGGCGGCAUAUCGGCCUCACCAGCAGGUUUCCACAGUGUCAGGAACAUUUCCGUGCAAUAAAUAAUCAAAAACAACUAAUAAUCUGUGUCAGCACAUACAUUUAGAUCUAUAUCGAUAUAUUCUGAUCUAUAUCUGAUCUGAUGAGCGCAUUUGGCAUGCGUUUGGACACUCAACCUGACCAAAUUAACACAGCUGCUGAAUCCGCAUGAAAUUGAAUCAAAUAUCUAGUAAAUAAACACACAUGAUGAAGUUAAUAAGAUAUUUAAUUUGUCUGCCCCCAUUUCUAGCUUCCUCUUCCUCUUAUUUCUCACGCAGCUCAACCUGGACAUGUCUCCGUGUCCUCUACCCGUCCUGCUGCAGCUGCUGCUGCGGCAGCUGAACAGAUGAUUUGUUCCAGUGAUCAGAUGAGUUUUUUACUUUAAGCCUACCUACAAAUAUUAUAAUAAUCAGUUUUGUGAGCCAAAUUUAUUUUAUAUGCCAACAUCUAUGAAAGAAAGAGCCAGGCCACGGAGCGCGAUUUACACACAGAUUGGUUCCGAUUUUAAUGCCAUUAUUGGAAUUUAUGUUGUGACCUUUGCGCACAACCCACCUUUGUCACGUGAGGUUUAAAUAUAUGCAAUUUAAUGUGAUUGUCUUUAUUUGUGGAAAAGGGUGUUUGUCUUACCAGUGGGUCCAACAUUACACACACCAAAUCCAUCUGUGCUUAUAUGAGACAGUGCGGAGGACGCCCAAUGCAGCGCUUACAGUGACACUUGUUGAGGAGCUGCCUUUUGUCGCCAUCGUGUGGCAUUGCUGUCUUCAGACAUCUCUUGAUCUCUUUGACUACUUCACGAAAUUGGUAAUACGCCUCGCUAGUGGCGGAUUCAAAGGCGAGAAGAGCUGAUGUUAUUGGUCAAUACAGGUCUCGGCUGUGUUAAACCCACUCAACGCCCUCUCUCCUCCCUCCCUAUGACCUACGCCGCAGGAAGGAGCUGAGUUAGGGGAGGGGGGAUACUUAUGCCGGGCUGCACAACUCACCAAAAUACGAAAAUGUGCUUGGAAACGCCUUGUCGGCGCGGUGGUUAAUUGCAUUAACGGUAUGUUCAGUAUGAAAACAAGGAGUUAUUAGUUCUUAAUCUAUUUUCACCUAUUGACCUAUUGUCAAUCGGUUUAAAAACACAUUUGUUCAAUAAUAUAUGCAAUGUCAUCAACUCCGUCAGUUUCUCGUCAACUCCGUCAGGUGUUCGUCAACACCGUCAGAUGUAUGUUUUUCUUCAAUUUUGGAGAAAAAAAAAUUUGUUUCUUCAGUUUAUAUUGUUUAAGUAAUAAAGGAGCAUUGGCUCUACAUCCUCUUGUGUCUUAUUUACUUACAGAAAUUGUUUUUAUAAUAUAAAAAUUAAAAACAAAGUUUGAAAAUGCAACUAUUUAGAAAUCUUGGUUUUCAAAAUAGUGUGAAAUCACACAUUAGGUUUAUAUAUUAUAUUUCAUGGCAUAUCAGAGUAACUAAACACUAUUACAACAUACAUCAGAACUUUAGAUUCUUGUUGGACUAGAAUUAUUAAAAUUAUUUUCUUUUUUGUGUGUCUGAUGGAGUUGACACAAAUCCACUGUCUAAGGGAAACGUUAAUUUAUAGAAAAAAUGUUUUUAUUUAGAGCCUGUUCCUUUACGGGGUUAAAUAGCUAAGACCUUUCUCUACAGUAAUAAAUAACUCUAAUCAAUAUAGUGUGCAUUCUCAAAAAAAGUUUUUUAGGAAGUGUUUUGUCCCGA
Non-coding RNA from Xyrichtys novacula (pearly razorfish), 4337 nucleotides. Lineage: Eukaryota; Metazoa; Chordata; Actinopteri; Labriformes; Labridae. The record is from the annotation of a GenBank genome assembly.